Molecule: ribosomal RNA, 465 nt
Filed under: uncultured bacterium
Lineage: Bacteria
Description: partial 16S ribosomal RNA
Rfam family: Bacterial small subunit ribosomal RNA
Source: RNAcentral
ACGAACACUGGCGGCGCGCCUAACACAUGCAAGUCGAACGAGCGAGAGAGAGCUUGCUUUCUUGAGCGAGUGGCGAACGGGUGAGUAACGCGUGAGGAACCUGCCUCAAAGAGGGGGACAACAGGGGGAAACGACUGCUAAUACCGCAUAAGCCCACGGUGCCGCAUGGCACAGAGGGAAAAUGAGCAAGCCGCUUUGAGAUGGCCUCGCGUCCGAUUAGCUAGUUGGUGAGGUAACGGCCCACCAAGGCGACGAUCGGUAGCCGGACUGAGAGGUUGAACGGUCACAUUGGGACUCAGACAAGGCCCAGACGGCUGCGAGAAGCAGGGGUGGGGGAUAAUGCAGCGUGGGGGAAACCCUGAUGCAGCGACGCCGCGUGGAGGAAGAAGGUGUUCGGAUUGUAAACUCCUGUUGUUGGGGAAGAUAAUGACGGUACCCAAAAAGGAAGUGACGGCUAACUACGUG